GACGAACGCUGGCGGCGUGCUUAACACAUGCAAGUCGAACGAAGAGCGAUGGAAGCUUGCUUCUAUCACUCUUAGUGGCGAACGGGUGAGUAACGCGUAAUCAACCUGCCCUUCAGAGGGGGACAACAGUUGGAAACGACUGCUAAUACCGCAUACGAUCUAAUCUCGGCAUCGAGGAUAGAUGAAAGGUGGCCUCUACAUGUAAGCUAUCACUGAAGGAGGGGAUUGCGUCUGAUUAGCUAGUUGGAGGGGUAACGGCCCACCAAGGCGAUGAUCAGUAGCCGGUCUGAGAGGAUGAACGGCCACAUUGGGACUGAGACACGGCCCAGACUCCUACGGGAGGCAGCAGUGGGGAAUCUUCCGCAAUGGACGAAAGUCUGACGGAGCAACGCCGCGUGAGUGAUGACGGCCGUCGGGUUGUAAAGCUCGGUUAAUCGGGACGAAAGGCCUUCUUGCGAAUAGGGAGAAGGAUUGACGGUACCGGAAUAGAAAGCCACGGCUAACUACGUG
Molecule: ribosomal RNA, 510 nt
Filed under: uncultured bacterium
Lineage: Bacteria
Description: partial 16S ribosomal RNA
Rfam family: Bacterial small subunit ribosomal RNA
Source: RNAcentral